ACGGUAGCUUAAGACCUCAUUGGAACCGCGUUCAAGAGAGAACCUCUCUGUCCAAGACACCCCGCUGGAGUCUCUCUCCUCUCUGGGCCGGACCCCAAGCCCAAAGACCGCCAGGAGCCCCCCGCUUGGAUUCCAGCUGCUGCAGCUGCUGUGGAAAUUCGCUGUGGCCACUGCCUCUUCCCGCUAUAAUCCCAGACCUCCAGUCAUUGGGCAGCUCCUCAGAGGCAAGAAGUCAACACCAUGGCAACCCGACAAGCCUAUCAAAUCACCAGCUGGUUUGACAGCAGCAAGGCUGCAGGCAGGAGUGGGCUGGGCAGGAGAGCAGAGUGGCCACUGUGCUCAGAAAUCGCUCCUCGCAAGCAUGGGGGAACCAUACAAAAUGCCGGAUUUUGAACCAUCGUCUGUCUUGGAUUGGCUGCGUGUAAAGCAAACUUCCUAGCACUGUGUUAUCUCUCAGACCCCAAGGUGCCAUUAUUUUGACAGUU
Suncus etruscus (white-toothed pygmy shrew) is the source of this 485-nucleotide long non-coding RNA. RefSeq lists it as uncharacterized. The record is from RefSeq and is a predicted model, not a curated record. Lineage: Eukaryota; Metazoa; Chordata; Mammalia; Eulipotyphla; Soricidae. The transcript has 3 exons.